RNAcentral lists this long non-coding RNA (953 nucleotides) under Daucus carota (carrot). RNAcentral describes it as "long non-coding RNA (DCAR_LNC004988)". The record is from RNAcentral. Lineage: Eukaryota; Viridiplantae; Streptophyta; Magnoliopsida; Apiales; Apiaceae.
GAGCCUUUAUAAUUCUCUCCUCAUCUUCCCUCACGUAGCAAACAAAUUAUUCCGAUUGCCUGCUCCACUCCCUCCCACACUAAAACAAUUCUAGGAGAGCACACGAUUAAGACGACCAAAUUUAUUCUAUUUAAGAAUAUAGUUUUAAAAUCUUUUCGUCCCUGCAAUCCGGAAAAUCUUGCUUCGCCAAGAAAUACGUACCCGACACUAUUGAAAACACUCAACACGCACGGCUGCUCCACGCCAACUUCAUUUGGUUCCUCGUGUCCGAUCAAAUUCUGCGACGUUUUGUGUCAGACUGUCAGUUUCAACGUGUUUAUGUUAGUAUGUACUAAUUAUCAUAUGUUGCAACUAGAGCCGGUCAAACGGGCUGUUCCAGCAACCGCAGGCCGUGCUAGUUCCACACGGGCACUACUAAGCAGGCGGGUCGUGCUGUGCCGGGCUCGUGACUAAAGCAAUGAAUACCGUAACGAAGAAUCACUUUGACAAAUAUUUAUUUCGGGAAAAUAUUCGAACUUUUUUGCCUCCAAAUUAAUAAUUUAAUCUACAAGUAAUGAAUUUUUUAAAGAAAAAAUACGGUAUUAAAACUUUUAUACUUCCUCUAUUCCUUUAUGUUAUUCGCUUUGACUUUGUGCACCUAAUUUAAGGUGUACAAAAAUCAUACGUCUACGUAUUAUUUUUCAAAUUGUUUUUCUCUGAAUAAAGGUUUAACAUCUAUAGUUUUAUUCAGAAAAAGAAAAUUUGAAAAAUAAUGUGUAGAAAUAUGUUUUUCUUGCACCUUAAAAUACGUACAAAAAGUCAAAGCGACUAAUUAAAAAAACGGAUGGAGUAUCAAAUAACACGCGUGUAAUUGUCUUUAAAAGUCAGAUAUAUAUAUAAAGCUCAUCAAACACUAGUCGGUGCUUAAUCCAAAUCCACCAGGAACACUAUGCGACAAGUUGAAGGGAAAGANN